GUCCAAAUCAUAUGUGCUGAGUCCAGUCAAAUGGCAGUCAAAUAAUGGGACUUGAUUCGCCGUCUUAUGAGCUAGCGCGCCAUUUUUUGAGCGUUUCCGGUGUUUACUUUUCUGCACGUGCUUCAUUUUCCUGCGAGGCCAGUGCUCGGAGCGUCCCGGCCGAGAGGCUUUCCCAGAGCCAGUGCUGCUGCGGGUGUCCCCAUUUGGUGCACGGGCUCCUCCGUCCACGGGCUCCGUCAUGGCCGGCUCUAUCAUCGUGCCUACAGAUCCGGCGUGGUGUCGUCAGUAACAGCGCCAUGUCACCAGCUCCGACGUAAUUUCACCGUCUCGACGCGUCAUCGCUACCUUCGUGGUGUCACGGUUAAGGGCUGCCUAAACACUGCCAUAUCACUUCUUAACAAAUCUUAUAAUUCUUACGGUCUGCAAAUUCCAAAGUCUUGUUCGGGCAGCCACACGCACAGCGGGACGAGAUGUAGCAGGUGCCGCCCCCUUCGAAAAGCUAACUGAUCUUAAACUCGGGCACACCACUGGGUAUCCAGCGUUGAUGCCAAGCCAAGUCAUUGUGACGGCACUGUCCCCGAUGCUGUGCGUCAAAAACCGUCUCAGAGCAUCAGAUGUGCUAUGCAACCGCCUAUUUGUCUCAGGUGCGAUGCUGGGAGCUUUAGCAUGGCAUAGCGAUCUCCUCCGCCAGGCCAAGUUUGUUGGCAUGUUUCCUGUUCAGACAAAUGUGGACCGUGUACAGUCAGCUUAGAGAUGCAACUUGUGUGUGGUCGUUUCAGUGUACUUUGCUGUAGGCAUGGGUUAUGCGACAUUCUAUGUGAACCCUUGAGUUACUAAUAAAUGCUGUGACGCAU
Molecule: long non-coding RNA, 854 nt
Filed under: Pollicipes pollicipes
Lineage: Eukaryota; Metazoa; Arthropoda; Thecostraca; Pollicipedomorpha; Pollicipedidae
Description: uncharacterized LOC119099173, transcript variant X1
Source: RNAcentral